Long non-coding RNA from Dermacentor albipictus, 735 nucleotides. RefSeq lists it as uncharacterized. The record is from RefSeq and is a predicted model, not a curated record. NCBI's taxonomy places the organism in Eukaryota, Metazoa, Arthropoda, Arachnida, Ixodida, Ixodidae.
GGUCGAGACCAUUCAUUUGCAGUCACUGGUGGAUACGUAAAAAGGAUGAAGGCGUCUCGGGGGCAUCCCAGAGGAGUCGACUCUCCAUCCAAGGGUAAAAAGAACGCGAUGCCCCACCGGAAGUCCGUGGCACGAAAUGAAAAAUUUCCACUCACAGGUAUGCAGAAGAAGCGCUUCUCCGUUGCUAGCCGACGCCUGGUUGGCCGGGGCGAUUCCUGGUCGCACCGUAAGAUAACUCUCUCUAAGCAAACUGCUAGCUGAUGUCGAUGGUGAUUACGAUUACUUCGCCCGCACACAGGCCAAGGCGAAGCCGCUCGAGCCGGCCGGGCCUACUCUGGAAGCGCAGCGCGUCCCGCACGGAAGGACGCCGUCCAUGUCCCGCAGGCAGAGCCUCGUCGGGGGCCCGGCCACUAGGACCCGCGCUUCGCGGCCACGUCGGGCAAGACUUCCGAGUCACGCUGGAAUGCGAGGACCAUCCAACUGAGCCCAGACGUGAGAGCCUUCAUGGAACAACUGGCUCAGCAGGCGAACAAGGACGAGGGCCGCAGAACUGGCGCACCGCAUCGCGCGGCAUUGUCGCCGCGUGAGGAUCCUUUCGGUGCGCCCGGUCGGCAGCUCGAUCACCGAUGUAGGUCCCUACAAGACCCACGAAUAGGUCUUCACCUUGCAACAGUCAAGUUGCGCGGGAACUGACCGCAGCAGUGGCGACACAUCCGGCCAGCGUGCUCCUGACGA